This 253-nucleotide ribosomal RNA is filed under the name uncultured bacterium. RNAcentral describes it as "partial 16S ribosomal RNA". It matches the Rfam family "Bacterial small subunit ribosomal RNA", at positions 524 to 776 of the family's 1533-position model. The record is from RNAcentral.
UACGUAGGGGGCAAGCGUUGUCCGGAUUUAUUGGGCGUAAAGAGCGUGUAGGCGGCCAAGCAGGCCCGCUGUGAAAACUCGAGGCUCAACCUCGAGACGUCGGUGGAAACCGUUUGGCUAGAGUCCGGAAGAGGAGAGUGGAAUUCCCGGUGUAGCGGUGAAAUGCGCAGAUAUCGGGAAGAACACCCGUGGCGAAGGCGGCUCUCUGGGACGGUACUGACGCUGAGACGCGAAAGCGUGGGGAGCGAACAGG